Molecule: ribosomal RNA, 580 nt
Filed under: Bacillus amyloliquefaciens
Lineage: Bacteria; Bacillati; Bacillota; Bacilli; Caryophanales; Bacillaceae
Description: bacterial SSU rRNA
Rfam family: Bacterial small subunit ribosomal RNA
Source: RNAcentral
UGGCGGCGUGCCUAAUACAUGCAAGUCGAGCGGACAGAUGGGAGCUUGCUCCCUGAUGUUAGCGGCGGACGGGUGAGUAACACGUGGGUAACCUGCCUGUAAGACUGGGAUAACUCCGGGAAACCGGGGCUAAUACCGGAUGGUUGUUUGAACCGCAUGGUUCAGACAUAAAAGGUGGCUUCGGCUACCACUUACAGAUGGACCCGCGGCGCAUUAGCUAGUUGGUGAGGUAACGGCUCACCAAGGCGACGAUGCGUAGCCGACCUGAGAGGGUGAUCGGCCACACUGGGACUGAGACACGGCCCAGACUCCUACGGGAGGCAGCAGUAGGGAAUCUUCCGCAAUGGACGAAAGUCUGACGGAGCAACGCCGCGUGAGUGAUGAAGGUUUUCGGAUCGUAAAGCUCUGUUGUUAGGGAAGAACAAGUGCCGUUCAAAUAGGGCGGCACCUUGACGGUACCUAACCAGAAAGCCACGGCUAACUACGUGCCAGCAGCCGCGGUAAUACGUAGGUGGCAAGCGUUGUCCGGAAUUAUUGGGCGUAAAGGGCUCGCAGGCGGUUUCUUAAGUCUGAUGUGAAA